UACGAAGGGGGCUAGCGUUGUUCGGAUUUACUGGGCGUAAAGGGCGCGUAGGCGGCGUGGUAAGUCACUUGUGAAAUCUCUGAGCUUAACUCAGAACGGCCAAGUGAUACUGCUGUGCUAGAGUGCAGAAGGGGCAAUCGGAAUUCUUGGUGUAGCGGUGAAAUGCGUAGAUAUCAAGAGGAACACCUGAGGUGAAGACGGGUUGCUGGGCUGACACUGACGCUGAUGCGCGAAAGCUAGGGGAGCAAACGGG
RNAcentral lists this ribosomal RNA (253 nucleotides) under uncultured bacterium. RNAcentral describes it as "partial 16S ribosomal RNA". It matches the Rfam family "Bacterial small subunit ribosomal RNA", at positions 524 to 776 of the family's 1533-position model. The record is from RNAcentral.